CCUACGGGAGGCAGCAGUGGGGAAUAUUGGGCAAUGGGCGCAAGCCUGACCCAGCAACGCCGCGUGAAGGAAGAAGGCUUUCGGGUUGUAAACUUCUUUUCUCAGGGACGAAGAAAGUGACGGUACCUGAGGAAUAAGCCACGGCUAACUACGUGCAAGCAGCCGCGGUAAUACGUAGGUGGCAAGCGUUAUCCGGAUUUAUUGGGUGUAAAGGGCGUGUAGGCGGGAGCGCAAGUCAGAUGUGAAAACUCAGGGCUCAACCCUGAGCCUGCAUUUGAAACUGUGUUUCUUGAGUGCUGGGGAGGCAAUCGGAAUUCCGUGUGUAGCGGUGAAAUGCGUAGAUAUACGGAGGAACACCAGUGGCGAAGGCGGAUUGCUGGACAGUAACUGACGCUGAGGCGCGAAAGCGUGGGGAGCAAACAGGAUUAGAUACCCCAGUAGUC
This 443-nucleotide ribosomal RNA is filed under the name uncultured bacterium. RNAcentral describes it as "partial 16S ribosomal RNA". It matches the Rfam family "Bacterial small subunit ribosomal RNA", at positions 338 to 795 of the family's 1533-position model. The record is from RNAcentral.